UCAAGCGAUCCUCCCGCCUCAGCCUCCCAAAGUGCUGGGAUUACAGGCAGGAGCCAUGGUACCGGGCCCUCAAAGGGUUAUUAGAAAGACAAAAGAUAAUGUACAUGAAGUGCUUAGCACUCUCCCUGGGGUAGCAGUGAUAGAAAAAUACAAAUAAUCAUAAUAUUAAUAGUAACAGCAGCAGCAGGAGAAAAGUAAUAUUAAUAGCUAACACUGACUCAGCCCUUACUGUAUGUGAGGCAUAUGCAGAGACCCUUACACAUGCCACUCAUUUUGCGUCCACUACAUCAUGCGUUGGGUACUAUUAUUGUCACCAUCCCCAUUUUUGCGUAUGAGAAAACUGAGAGCACAGAAAGCUUGAGUAACUGCCCCAAAGUCACACUACAGAACCAGAAUCUCAGCCAGGUUCCAGAGGCCUAGCUUUUACUGACCACGAUUAGAUGCCUGAGUGAGCAAGAAAUGCUAAAUUAUCAGGCAACCUGUAAAUAUUUUAAGGGACCGGAACAAAUCUGUCCAAGGAAAACUGCUAAAAUGCAAAAUUUGCUCAGAUGAGGAAAUUCACCAAAUCGCUGGUCCCCCUAGGUUCAUGCAGGUUACAGGUGGCACCCCCGAUCAGCGACAGAAUCAGGUACUCUACAAAGUGGCGCCCAAACAGGGACUUCAAGGACAUGAAGAAGAAGGUCUGCUGGAGCAGAGGAACUGAAAUUGACAAGGUGAACGGGGAUCCCAGGUCUGUAAAAUCGGACGGACUGCCAAUCAGAGAAUGAGAGAUGCCCAGCCUGGCCUUACAUUCUUUCAAUUAAUACAUAAACACAAAGGGAGAGAUGUUGGGAGCCAAAAAGGCCAAAGGGAUCAUGAUCAACUCAGCAUUCCACUGGAGGCUAUAUGAUCAAAUAGCAAACUGUUUAUCACUAUCACGAAUGCAGGAUGUGAGCAAACUCACACUGCGCCUGCCACCAAAAGGUUGGCUGAGGGCCUCACUCCCUGGCACGGGGCUCCUUGAAGUUAUCUACUGAGAAAUCUAGUGUCUAUUGUUCAAACGAUGCAGUCUGGCAAGCCUGCUGUGAACCAACCAGCCGACUGACAAUUACCCCACAAUCACCCCCCAUUUAUCCCUAUCUGUUUUGCCUAAUAAAUAUGGAGGGCUGUGUAAAGCUCAGGGCCCUUGUCCACUAGAGGCAAGGUGCCCCCUGACCCCUUCU
Molecule: long non-coding RNA, 1202 nt
Filed under: Homo sapiens (human)
Lineage: Eukaryota; Metazoa; Chordata; Mammalia; Primates; Hominidae
Description: HSALNT0400337
Source: RNAcentral